RNAcentral lists this non-coding RNA (24 nucleotides) under Cricetulus griseus (Chinese hamster). Lineage: Eukaryota; Metazoa; Chordata; Mammalia; Rodentia; Cricetidae. The record is from RNAcentral.
AUGAAUGGAAGGCUUUUGCAGGGU